AUUGAACGCUGGCGGCAGGCCUAACACAUGCAAGUCGAACGAGUGGCGGACGGGUGAGUAAUGUCUGGGAAAAUGCCUGAUGGCGGGGGAUAACUACUGGAAAAAGUAGCUAAUACCGCAUACCAUCAGAUGUGCCAAGAUGGGAUUAGCUAGUUGGUGGGGUGACGGAUCACCAAGGCGACGAUCCCUAGCUGGUCUGCGAGGAUGACCAGCCAGACUGGAGCGGAGACACGGUCGAGACACCUACGGUAGGAAGCAGUGGGGAAUAUUGCAUAAUGGGCGCAAGCCUGAUGCAGCCAGGCCGAGUGUAUGAAGAAGGCCUUCGGGUUGUAAAGUACUUUCAGCGGGGAGGCGUUAACCGCAGAAGAAGCACCGGCUAACUCCGUGCCAGCAGCCGCGGUAAUUC
RNAcentral lists this ribosomal RNA (406 nucleotides) under uncultured bacterium. RNAcentral's name for it is "partial 16S ribosomal RNA". It matches the Rfam family "Bacterial small subunit ribosomal RNA", at positions 30 to 526 of the family's 1533-position model. The record is from RNAcentral.